GACGAACGCUGGCGGCGUGCUUAACACAUGCAAGUCGAACGGAAAGGCCCUGCUUUUGUGGGGUGCUCGAGUGGCGAACGGGGGAGUAACACGUGAGUAACCUGUCCCUGACUUUGGGAUAACUUCAGGAAACUGGGGCUAAUAUCGGGUAGGAGCUCCUGCUGCAUGGUGGGGGAUGGAAAGUUUCGGCGGUUGGGGAUGGACUCGCGGCUUAUCAGCUUGUUGGUGGGGUAGUGGCUUACCAAGGCUUUGACGGGUAGCCGGCCUGAGAGGGUGACCGGCCACAUUGGGACUGCGAUACGGCCCAGACUCCUACGGGAGGCAGCAGUGGGGAAUAUUGCACAAUGGGCGGAAGCCUGAUGCAGCGGCGCCGCGUGCGGGAUGACGGCCUUCGGGUUGUAAACCGCUUUCGCCUGUGACGAAGCGUGAGUGACGGUAAUGGGUAAAGAAGCACCGGCUAACUACGUG
Molecule: ribosomal RNA, 468 nt
Filed under: uncultured bacterium
Lineage: Bacteria
Description: partial 16S ribosomal RNA
Rfam family: Bacterial small subunit ribosomal RNA
Source: RNAcentral